Molecule: long non-coding RNA, 230 nt
Filed under: Parus major (Great Tit)
Lineage: Eukaryota; Metazoa; Chordata; Aves; Passeriformes; Paridae
Description: lncRNA (ENSPMJG00000003692.1)
Source: RNAcentral
CUUUGGGAUCUUCAGACAAUCUCGUGUGCCCUCUUGCCUUUAGUUCCCUUACACAGAAUGUGGUCAUUUUGAUAUGACUGAAGUCACAGAACUGUUGAUCAUCCCAACAGCCAGCCAAGCAGAAUGUUCAUUGAAAUGUUCAAGACUGGAAUGAAGAUGAUGGUGGAAAAGUCAACAACACCAUAUAGGUAAUAUUAUUGUCCACAGUAAUGACAUGAAAGAGAAAUGAC